RNAcentral lists this ribosomal RNA (512 nucleotides) under uncultured bacterium. RNAcentral describes it as "bacterial SSU rRNA". It matches the Rfam family "Bacterial small subunit ribosomal RNA", at positions 34 to 518 of the family's 1533-position model. The record is from RNAcentral.
CGCUGGCGGCGUGCCUAAUACAUGCAAGUCGAACGGUCUUUCUAUGGAAGCUUGCUUCCACUGAGAAGAUAGUGGCGAACGGGUGAGUAACACGUGGGUAACCUGCCCAUAAGAGGGGGGAUAACAUCCGGAAACGGGUGCUAAUACCGCAUAGUUUUCUUGAUCGCAUGAUUGAGAAAGGAAAGACGGCCUUUGUGCUGUCGCUUAUGGAUGGACCCGCGGCGUAUUAGUUAGUUGGUGAGGUAACGGCUCACCAAGACGAUGAUACGUAGCCGACCUGAGAGGGUGAUCGGCCACAUUGGGACUGAGACACGGCCCAAACUCCUACGGGAGGCAGCAGUAGGGAAUCUUCCGCAAUGGACGAAAGUCUGACGGAGCAACGCCGCGUGAGUGAAGAAAGGUUUUCGGAUCGUAAAACUCUGUUGUCAGAGAAGAACAAGUUGGAGAGUAACUGCUCCAGCCUUGACGGUAUCUGACCAGAAAGCCACGGCUAACUACGUGCCAGCAGCCGC